GUUCUUGCUUUGUUAGUACAUAUACUAAUAUUGUAAUGAUACAGAUUAACAUGGCCCCUACAGAAGGAUGACACCCAAAUUUGUGAAGUGUUCCAUAGUUUG
Small nuclear RNA from Acomys russatus (golden spiny mouse), 102 nucleotides. NCBI's taxonomy places the organism in Eukaryota, Metazoa, Chordata, Mammalia, Rodentia, Muridae. The record is from RefSeq and is a predicted model, not a curated record.